This is a long non-coding RNA of Macrobrachium nipponense, 1644 nucleotides long. RefSeq lists it as uncharacterized. The record is from RefSeq and is a predicted model, not a curated record. NCBI's taxonomy places the organism in Eukaryota, Metazoa, Arthropoda, Malacostraca, Decapoda, Palaemonidae. The transcript is spliced from 2 exons.
UGCUAAUCUAUUCAAGAGAAAAACAAACACUUUAUCAUGAAACGGUACUUAUCUGUUGGCCAGCGAUCUAACAAAGGACAAACCUACUUACAGAAAGAAGUUGAACCACUAUAAGUUGUACGCGAUCUGAGUCGUAUUUUCUCCUCUCUCUCUCUCCAAGGAUAUACUUUAUCAACAAUUUUAUAACGGACAAACCGACCGACCCUAUCUGUCAUCGGUUGUGCUUCAGGAAAUACUUCAUCCAGGUGCAAGACGCAUUCCAACUUCUUCAGAGCUGAAUAGCUACAUAUUUCCUCACGACCUAACAGAUAGCACAAAAUCUGCUUUCUUUCAUUUAAAGGAGUUUGCGUUCUUGGCACAUGGCUUUGUAAAAGGGACCACAACACGUGCAACUUUCUUUAACUUGGUUGAUGACUGAGUGACAAAGUUAGAUACAGCCAUGGCUAAUGACUCGGAGGAAAUCAGAUGGAUUGACCGAAUCCGGGCUAUAACCUCAGCAACAGAGAGAAGACCAUGCAUGGUUUUGUGGUUCAUUUAUUAAAGACUGGGAUGAAGCUGACUUUCUCCAUGUUGCCGCAUCAGAUGAAUUCUUCAUUUACACAGUCAGGAAGCCAAAUCAUAAAAAUUACAUCACUUGGGCUGCAAAGUUGGAUGAUAUCAGCAAUGAUGUGCGCUAUCGCCAAGUUGUGAAAUUUCCUGAAUGUUUGGGAAUUUUUCUGCUCCAUAGCCAAAUGGUUAAUGUGGAUCAUCAAAAAAAAAGGGCAGUCAUGGAAUGGCGAAUACUUCAGAGAAACUGUGCUUACUGGUGGAGUAUUUCCUUUCCUCAAAGAUCCUGAAAAUGUGUUAUCUGUUGAAGAAGUCACAUUUUUGCAUGAUAAGGCACCAUGUUUCAAGGCUCUUCAGACACAGGAGCAGCUUCAAAACAGUGGUAUCGAUUUCUUCUCGUCAAGUGAAUUUCCAGGAAGCUCCCCUGACUUUAACACAGGUAGUGUUUGAGUUAUGAUAAUUUAUCUUACGAUAAUCCGAUUUUACAAUGGGGUUAGCAAUUAAUACUCAUAUGACAAUAUUUUGAAAAUAUCUAAAUUUUGCUCGUAACAGGUGCAGCCCAGCAGUGUACAACCAGGCAGCAAGAGAGAGAGACCAAAUUCUAGUUAAAUAAAUAAAAAAAAAAAAAAAAUAGCAAAAGAGAAUUAUGGAAGUUUUGUUUAAACAUUUAGCUCGUUUGGUAUAUGUGUACAGUCAUGAACAACUGAACAAGAUACCCUACAUGUAAAGAUGAUACCUAUUACACUAGCGUAGGCUAGGCUAUAUUCAAGAUACAAUUUUUUCGACAUACGAUGGGUUUUUUGGACCCUAACCCAAUCGUAAGUAGGAGAAUACCUGUAUGUGAGAAAACAUUGGUAGUACAUAUCUUAAAGGAUCGUGUUGAAGCGCGCUCAGUGAGCUAUGAUUGUAUACCAAGCCUUGACGACCUGCGAAGAGAGGUGACCAAAGUGCUCAGGGAAAUGGAGUUUGAGUCAGCUUUUUUGUGAUUUGCUAAAAUCAUACCCCUCAAGAAUCCAUGCUGUGGUACAGGCAGAUGGAGGGCACACAAAAUAUUAAAUACUCAUGAGAGAAACUUAAAUAAAUACCUGUUCUGAAUUA